GAUUUCUGGCUUGAAACAUUUGGCCGGCCACGGUUUCGUGUGUUAGUGCUUUGUGUUCUGGCCAUCCUUCCAAUGGCUGCUCACUUUUCUUCAUUGAUUGGUGAGUGGUAUUGGAUCUUUUACUUUGAAAAAAUUAGAGUGUUUCAAGCAGGCUUUAUGCUAUGAAUACAUUAGCAUGGAAUAAUAAUUUAGGACUUUGGCCCUAUUUUGUUGGUUUCUAGGACUGAAGUAAUGAUUGAUAGGGAUAGUUGGGGGUGCUCGAAUUCAGCGGCCAGAGGUGAAAUUCUUGGAUUCGCUGAAGACGAACUCAUGCGAAAGCAUU
RNAcentral lists this ribosomal RNA (322 nucleotides) under Sandonidae sp. Its description in RNAcentral is "SSU rRNA". The stretch from base 110 to 322 matches the Rfam family "Eukaryotic small subunit ribosomal RNA", at positions 742 to 955 of the family's 1831-position model. The record is from RNAcentral. Lineage: Eukaryota; Cercozoa; Glissomonadida; Sandonidae.